Molecule: ribosomal RNA, 253 nt
Filed under: uncultured bacterium
Lineage: Bacteria
Description: partial 16S ribosomal RNA
Rfam family: Bacterial small subunit ribosomal RNA
Source: RNAcentral
UACGUAGGGUGCAAGCGUUAAUCGGAAUUACUGGGCGUAAAGCGUGCGCAGGCGGUUAUAUAAGUCAGACGUGAAAUCCCCGGGCUCAACCUGGGAACUGCAUUUGAGACUGUAUGGCUAGAGUGCGGCAGAGGGGGGUAGAAUUCCACGUGUAGCAGUGAAAUGCGUAGAUAUGUGGAGGAAUACCGAUGGCGAAGGCAGCCCCCUGGGAUGACACUGACGCUCAUGCACGAAAGCGUGGGGAGCAAACAGG